AGCGAACGCUGGCGGCAGGCUUAACACAUGCAAGUCGAACGGGCUUCUUCGGAAGUCAGUGGCAGACGGGUGAGUAACACGGGGGAACGUGCCCUUCGGUUCGGAAUAACUCAGGGAAACUUGAGCUAAUACCGGAUACGCCCUUUUGGGGAAAGGUUGACUGCCGAAGGAUCGGCCCGCGUCUGAUUAGCUUGUUGGUGGGGUAACGGCCUACCAAGGCGACGAUCAGUAGCUGGUCUGAGAGGAUGAUCAGCCACACUGGGACUGAGACACGGCCCAGACUCCUACGGGAGGCAGCAGUGGGGAAUAUUGGACAAUGGGCGCAAGCCUGAUCCAGCCAUGCCGCGUGAGUGAUGAAGGCCUUAGGGUUGUAAAGCUCUUUUGUCCGGGACGAUAAUGACGGUACCGGAAGAAUAAGCCCCGGCUAACUUCGUG
RNAcentral lists this ribosomal RNA (435 nucleotides) under uncultured bacterium. Its description in RNAcentral is "partial 16S ribosomal RNA". It matches the Rfam family "Bacterial small subunit ribosomal RNA", at positions 29 to 507 of the family's 1533-position model. The record is from RNAcentral.